Molecule: long non-coding RNA, 3083 nt
Filed under: Canis lupus familiaris (dog)
Lineage: Eukaryota; Metazoa; Chordata; Mammalia; Carnivora; Canidae
Description: lncRNA (ENSCAFG00030023738.1)
Source: RNAcentral
CGAGGGUCUUGGAGCCUCGUCUAGUUGUGAACCUCGAGGGUCUUGGGGCCUCGUCUAGUUGUGAACCUCGAGGGUCUUGGGGCCUUGUCUCGUUGUGAACCUCGAGGGUCUUGGAGCUUCAUCUUAUUGUGAACCUCAAGAGUCUUGGAGCCUCGUCUAGUUGUGAACCUUGAGGGUCUUGGGGCCUUGUCUCGUUGUGAACCUCGAGGGUCUUGGGGCCUCGUCUAGUUGUGAACCUCGAGGGUCUUGGGGCCUCGUCUAGUUGUGAACCUCAAGGGUCUUGGGGCCUCGUCUUGUUGUGAACCUUGAGGGUCUUGGAUCCUUGUCUAGUUGUGAACCUCUAGGGCUCUAGGCCCCCCUUCUGUCCUCCUCUAUCUCCUCAGCUGUCCUCCCUUACGACACUCACCAUUUCUCUUGUUUGCUUGAAGCCAGAGACUAUCCUCAUGCUGAUUCUACCUCUGGGCCUGGACCAUAACACAGCGCCUAAGACGUAGAUGUUGCAUCCACUUAAAACUCCCAGAAUUCAAUUGUACUCAACAUUUCUAUUGUGAUGCACCUCACAGACUAGGACUGAACAGACUAUAGUCAGGUCAAGGCCAGAGUCAAUCCCCAAGGGUUUAUGGAGCACCUGCUUUGAGACUGGGGAUGACUCAGGUACGGGAGAGCAGGCCACAUGGCAAGCUAAGAAUUCUCACCAACACGUGUGCUCUUCCGCUCUCCUGGUUUCACCCCUUUUCUGGGGUCCCAACAAGGCCCUACACACCUUCCCUCCCACCGCCCCUAUGGCCAGAGGUGGUCUCUUUUUCUGGGGUUCCCCUGGGGGUGUCUCACCACAGUGAAAUAUUCUCUUUUCUUGUUUACCUAGCUCUUUCCUGUGCUUGUCUCAGUUCCCUGCUCAUCGCAUCUCAAGCCAGUUAAGUAUGUUGAUGCACAGGUGAACGGCUAUCUGCCCACCUUUGGCAUGGCUGUCCCACACCAGAGAGGUAGGAGUGAGGAGGAUGAAAGUUUUCUUAAACUGCUUUCAGGUGGAAUUUUGCCUUGAUGGACUGGGCUGCCAGAUUUAGGCUUGACAACAUAAGGAAAAAUUCAUAGCCUAUGUCCUGACGCAAAACAAAAUUUAAUCAAUGUUUAUUUCCUUCCUUCCUUGGAAGAAGUCGUCUAGUCUGUCUUAGAGACUGUCCAUUCUUACAUAUGUGGGGAGCCUGUACCCGAAAUUAGGGGAGUCAGAGCUCUGCUCAGGGACAUUUCCACCUUUCCAAAGAACCGUUCUGAUGGUCCAACACGCAGACUUUGUGAGAUAAUAGAAUCUGGGGACUAACAGGGCCCUUAGAGAUAAUCUCUGCUGAUGCUAAGGCAAUUUGAUAAGCUUUAAAGUAGAUUAGUAAAUUUAAAAAUAAGCAGACAAAAAGAUGAUGGUCAUUACUGGAAGAGCCCAUCUUGGCUUCUUCUUGAGCACAGUCUCCAGGAAGCCAACUGUAGUGGUCCGCUGUGCUCCCUCUCCCAGGAAAUGAUCGACUUCCCCGGGGUUCAUCUGCUUCCAUAUGUUUGUUGCUUCAAAAACGUAGCCAUCGACUUAGGUUGAUCCUUAAAGAGACACUGAAGGUCCCUUGUGAGAUGCUACAGCUUUUAGGAUUAGGAUGACUUCCUCCAGAAGUGACGGGGCAUCUCAACAUGGGUGUCCGAGGAGGAAGUGGCUUGGCCCGGGGCAAAGAGCGUGGGCUUUGGAGUCAGGCACACCUGGGUUUGAGUUCAGAGGCUGGCACUUUCCGAUUGUGGGAUGUGGCGUCAGGGAAGUCAGUAACGUACUUCUCCGAUGCCUCCCCUCCUCAUCUGCAAGACAGGAAAAUUAGUAACUCUCCCUGGAGAUUGCUGGAGACGUGAAGGUACCUUAUUACGUAUACAACAUGCCGGGCACAUAAUAAGCACCAAGUACCACUCGUUUAUAUUCCUUGUUGCCCAUUUGAACGUCACUGUGUCAAAUAGGAUCAAAAGACGUGUCGCUGAUGACCUAUGACGUCACUGAGAUUGAGAAAGGAUUCAGCAGGAGGCUCUGCUAACAUUUCAGCUGUGAUGUUCGUUCACGAUAGUCCGCAUCCAUUGGCAGAAAUAGAUUUCCUAAUAAACAUAAUAACAAAGGCGAAGGAAUGGCACUUUCCUAUUGUCUUACGCAAUUGAACCCACUUCUGUAUAACCAGACAUGCCCUGGCUUGCUGUACGAUGUUUUCUCUUUUAAUUUGCCAUCAUUUUUGGAGAACCUAUCAUGCAUUUAAUUAGGUGCUUGACAUAUAUUUUUCUCAUUUAACCCUCCUGAUGAUUCUGUAAAGGGACUGUCGUUAUUCCAAUAUUAUAGAUGAAGCUCAGUGAAACUAAGUGACUUACCCGAGAUGACAUAGGCUCAUCUGACACUCAGCCCCUUCCAGAUUUUGGAGGUUGUGUGCGUGCACACCCUGAUGAAGGUGACUGGUACUCAACAGUACUUGUUGGAUGAAUGAACCUUCCCUUUUUCUCAGACCUUACUUUUAAUCAGCUGUGUGUCUUUGUGUGAUAGUAGCAAGGUCCAUGCAAUGGAUUUGCCUCCUCAGGGCAAAGAGAUGACUUGCAUUUUUGCUGAGCUAACCAUGUGGGAUGAAGGGAAGUGUCAUGUACGUUCUUUCAUAACUCACAUGCUUUGUAUGGUCUGACCCUUGUCUACUCCAGCUUCCACACUCACUACUCUCCCAUAGGUUCCCUACAUUCUGGCUACACCGGCCUGCUUCUGGCUCUUGGCAGCAUCAUGCUUCUCCAGCCUUGGGGUCUUCCACAUGCUGCUCCACCUGCCUGAAAUGCCAAUCCCUUCCUAAAGUGUUGAACCCUAUCCAUUCUUCAAAUCUUAGCUUAAAUAGAACUUUCUCUGAGGGGGGCACUUGACCGGAUGAGCACUGGGUGUUAUUCUAUAUGUUGGCAAAUUGAACACCAAUAAAAAAUAAAUUUAUAAAAAAAAAAAUAGAACUUUCUCCAGAAGGCCUCCUUGACCCUCUGUUUCAGUUACCUAUUGUUGUGUAAGAAACCUCCUCAAAGUGCAGUGACUUAGAACAACCAUCAUU